This 425-nucleotide ribosomal RNA is filed under the name uncultured bacterium. RNAcentral describes it as "partial 16S ribosomal RNA". It matches the Rfam family "Bacterial small subunit ribosomal RNA", at positions 354 to 796 of the family's 1533-position model. The record is from RNAcentral.
GUGGGGAAUAUUGGUCAAUGGGCGAAAGCCUGAUCCAGCAAUGCCGCGUGAGUGAUGAAGGCCUUAGGGUUGUAAAGCUCUUUUACCAGGGAUGAUAAUGACAGUACCUGGAGAAUAAGCUCCGGCUAACUCCGUGCCAGCAGCCGCGGUAAUACGGAGGGAGCUAGCGUUGUUCGGAAUUACUGGGCGUAAAGCGCACGUAGGCGGUUACUCAAGUCAGAGGUGAAAGCCCGGGGCUCAACCCCGGAACUGCCUUUGAAACUAGGUAACUAGAAUCUUGGAGAGGUCAGUGGAAUUCCGAGUGUAGAGGUGAAAUUCGUAGAUAUUCGGAAGAACACCAGUGGCGAAGGCGACUGACUGGACAAGUAUUGACGCUGAGGUGCGAAAGCGUGGGGAGCAAACAGGAUUAGAAACCCUUGUAGUCC